Molecule: ribosomal RNA, 504 nt
Filed under: Triticum aestivum (bread wheat)
Lineage: Eukaryota; Viridiplantae; Streptophyta; Magnoliopsida; Poales; Poaceae
Description: partial small subunit ribosomal RNA
Source: RNAcentral
AUGGAGCGCCUGCUUGGGCUGCUCAAGGUGAAGGUGGUGCGCGGGCUGAACCUGGCCAUCUGCGACCCCCUCUCCCACAGCAGCGACCCCUACGUCGUCAUCCGCCUCGGACAGCAGAAAGUGAAGUCGAGCAUCAAAUAUAAAACCAUCAACCCAGAAUGGAACGAGGAGCUCACCCUGUCUAUCACAAACUGGACGCUCCCCGUUAAGAUUGAAGUCUUUGACCACGACACUUUCACCAAGGAUGACACCAUGGGCGAUGCAGAGUUCAGCAUCCUCGACUUUGUCGAGAUCGCCGUCAAGGACCUGACCCAUGUCCGUGAUGACACGGUGAUGAAGACGUUCCAACCUAACGAGGAGAACAGCUACUCGGCUGACAGCCACAUCAUGUGGAAAGACGGGAAGGUCACUCAGAAUAUGGCCCUCAAGCUAAGGAACACCGACACUGGCGAGCUCAUCAUGCACCUGGAGUGGGUUAACCUCCCCCCAGGCAUGUCGCGGUGA